Molecule: non-coding RNA, 30 nt
Filed under: Rattus norvegicus (Norway rat)
Lineage: Eukaryota; Metazoa; Chordata; Mammalia; Rodentia; Muridae
Source: RNAcentral
UAUUUAAAAAAAAAAAAAAAAGACUCUUAC